AGCUCGCAGAGCAUCCCGCUUUUAGCGGGAAGGUCAUUGGUUCGAAUCCAAU
Molecule: transfer RNA, 52 nt
Filed under: Chitinophaga niabensis
Lineage: Bacteria; Pseudomonadati; Bacteroidota; Chitinophagia; Chitinophagales; Chitinophagaceae
Rfam family: tRNA
About the family: Transfer RNA (tRNA) molecules are approximately 80 nucleotides in length. Their secondary structure includes four short double-helical elements and three loops (D, anti-codon, and T loops).
Source: Rfam by way of RNAcentral